RNAcentral lists this ribosomal RNA (87 nucleotides) under Serratia marcescens. RNAcentral describes it as "partial 16S ribosomal RNA". It matches the Rfam family "Bacterial small subunit ribosomal RNA", at positions 1 to 85 of the family's 1533-position model. Lineage: Bacteria; Pseudomonadati; Pseudomonadota; Gammaproteobacteria; Enterobacterales; Yersiniaceae. The record is from RNAcentral.
UUUAAUUGAAGAGUUUGAUCAUGGCUCAGAUUGAACGCUGGCGGCAGGCUUAACACAUGCAAGUCGAGCGGUAGCACAGGGGAGCUU